UUAUUUCAAAGCUGAUGAAGAUAAUAAUUUGACUGAACAUCAAUGAGGUGUUAAUGAACGUUCAAAUGAGCUUGUCUUUAUGUACCUGAUUGAACACAAUUACUGGUUGUUGGAGCCAAAAUGGUCUUGAAAUAAACUUCAGUACAAACAUCAAUCAUUGAAGAGCUGGAAACUUUAGCAAUAUAUGGGAAAAAAAAAAAAUAUGAAUGAACUUCAAUGAUGAAGUCAAGGAAAAGGAAGAGUUUAAAGAAAGUGUUACUUAAACAAUUGUAACAACUGAGACUGCUUGUGUAUUAAGAGCAGUGUGUUGUCAGCAAUAUAAUAGAAAAGAAAACAAUACAAGGAUGAUGAUGCUGAAGUUGUAAGAUGGUAUAAAAGUCGUGAAAAAUAGUGAAAAAAAGAGCUUGUAUGUGUGAAUAUACAGCCAGCUGGUGAUGUAAUAAUUAUGGACUUCCUG
This is a long non-coding RNA of Aphidius gifuensis, 457 nucleotides long. RefSeq lists it as uncharacterized. The record is from RefSeq and is a predicted model, not a curated record. NCBI's taxonomy places the organism in Eukaryota, Metazoa, Arthropoda, Insecta, Hymenoptera, Braconidae. The transcript has 3 exons.